CCUACGGGAGGCAGCAGUGGGGGAUAUUGCACAAUGGGGGGAACCCUGAUGCAGCGACGCCGCGUGGGUGAAGGAGUGCUUCGGCAUGUAAAGCCCUAUCGGCAGGGAAGAAGCAAGACGGUACCUGACUAAGAAGCCCCGGCUAAAUACGUGCCAGCAGCCGCGGUAAUACGUAGGGGGCGAGCGUUAUCCGGAUUCACUGGGUGUAAAGGGAGCGUAGACGGCCAUGCAAGCCAGGGGUGAAAGCCCGGGGCCCAACCCCGGGACUGCCCUUGGAACUGCAUGGCUUGAGUGCGGGAGGGGCAGGCGGAAUUCCUGGUGUAGCGGUGAAAUGCGUAGAUAUCAGGAGGAACACCGACGGCGAAGGCGGCCUGCUGGACCGCGACUGACGUUGAGGCUCGAAAGCGUGGGGAGCGAACAGGAUUAGAUACCCUUGUAGUC
RNAcentral lists this ribosomal RNA (441 nucleotides) under uncultured bacterium. RNAcentral describes it as "partial 16S ribosomal RNA". It matches the Rfam family "Bacterial small subunit ribosomal RNA", at positions 338 to 795 of the family's 1533-position model. The record is from RNAcentral.